CACGUGAGAAACCUGCCUCGGAGUGGGGAAUAACUCGGGGAAACUCGAGCUAAUACCGCAUACCCUCACAUGAUCGCAUGGUCGAGUGAAGAAAGAAUUUCGCUCUGAGAGGGUCUCGCGGCCUAUCAGCUUGUUGGUGGGUAACGGCCUACCAAGGCAACGACGGGUAGCUGGUUUGAGAGAACGAUCAGCCACACUGGGACUGAGACACGGCCCAGACUCCUACGGGAGGCAGCAGUGGGGAAUCUUGCGCAAUGGGCGAAAGCCUGACGCAGCAACGCCGCGUGCGGGAUGACGGCCUUCGUGGUUGUAAACCGCUUUCAGCAGGGACGAAAAUGACGGUACCUGCAGAAGAAGCCCCGGCUAACUACGUG
Molecule: ribosomal RNA, 374 nt
Filed under: uncultured bacterium
Lineage: Bacteria
Description: bacterial SSU rRNA
Rfam family: Bacterial small subunit ribosomal RNA
Source: RNAcentral